RNAcentral lists this ribosomal RNA (500 nucleotides) under uncultured bacterium. RNAcentral's name for it is "partial 16S ribosomal RNA". It matches the Rfam family "Bacterial small subunit ribosomal RNA", at positions 30 to 523 of the family's 1533-position model. The record is from RNAcentral.
AUUGAACGCUGGCGGCAGGCCUAACACAUGCAAGUCGAGCGGAUGACGGGAGCUUGCUCCUUGAUUCAGCGGCGGACGGGUGAGUAAUACCUAGGAAUCUGCCUGAUAGUGGGGGACAACGUUUCGAAAGGAACGCUAAUACCGCAUACGUCCUACGGGAGAAAGCAGGGGACCUUCGGGCCUUGCGCUAUCAGAUGAGCCUAGGUCGGAUUAGCUAGUUGGUGAGGUAAUGGCUCACCAAGGCGACGAUCCGUAACUGGUCUGAGAGGAUGCUCAGUCACGAUGGAACUGAGACACGGUCCGGACUCCUACGGGAGGCAGCAGUGGGGGAUAUUGGACGAUGGGCGAAAGCCUGAUCCAGCCAUGCCGCGUGUGUGAAGAAGGUCUUCGGAUUGUAAAGCACUUUAAGUUGGGAGGAAGGGCAGUAAGCUAAUACCUUGCUGUUUUGACGUUACCGACAGAAUAAGCACCGGCUAACUCUGUGCCAGCCGCCGCCGUAA